GCCGGCCUAGCUCAAUUUGGCAGAGCAACUGACUUGUAAUCAGUAGGUUGGGGGUUCAAGUCCCUCGGCCGGCA
Molecule: transfer RNA, 74 nt
Filed under: Melghiribacillus thermohalophilus
Lineage: Bacteria; Bacillati; Bacillota; Bacilli; Caryophanales; Bacillaceae
Rfam family: tRNA
About the family: Transfer RNA (tRNA) molecules are approximately 80 nucleotides in length.
Source: Rfam by way of RNAcentral